GCCUUGGUGGUGUAAUGUUCAGCACACUUGGCGCGUACUCAAGAGGUCCGAGGUUCGAGUCCCGGUGAGGACA
Molecule: transfer RNA, 73 nt
Filed under: Stegodyphus mimosarum
Lineage: Eukaryota; Metazoa; Arthropoda; Arachnida; Araneae; Eresidae
Rfam family: tRNA
About the family: Transfer RNA (tRNA) molecules are approximately 80 nucleotides in length. Their secondary structure includes four short double-helical elements and three loops (D, anti-codon, and T loops).
Source: Rfam by way of RNAcentral